RNAcentral lists this ribosomal RNA (355 nucleotides) under uncultured bacterium. RNAcentral's name for it is "bacterial SSU rRNA". It matches the Rfam family "Bacterial small subunit ribosomal RNA", at positions 1 to 334 of the family's 1533-position model. The record is from RNAcentral.
CUAGCGACUUCAGAGUUUGAUCCUGGCUCAGGAUGAACGCUGGCGGCGUGCUUAACACAUGCAAGUCGAACGAAGCGCUGUGGAAUGAGACUUCGGUUGAAUGAGACAGUGACUGAGUGGCGGACGGGUGAGUAACGCGUGGGUAACCUGCCUUAUACAGGGGGAUAACAGUUAGAAAUGACUGCUAAUACCGCAUAAGCGCACAGUAUCGCAUGAUACAGUGUGAAAAGCCGAGACGGUAUAAGAUGGACCCGCGUCUGAUUAGCUAGUUGGUGAGGUAACGGCCCACCAAGGCGACGAUCAGUAGCCGACCUGAGAGGGUGACCGGCCACAUUGGGACUGAGACACGGCCCAA